This 467-nucleotide ribosomal RNA is filed under the name uncultured bacterium. Its description in RNAcentral is "partial 16S ribosomal RNA". It matches the Rfam family "Bacterial small subunit ribosomal RNA", at positions 28 to 507 of the family's 1533-position model. The record is from RNAcentral.
GACGAACGCUGGCGGCGUGCUUAACACGUGCAAGUCGAACGGAAAGGCCCUGCUUUUGUGGGGUGCUCGAGUGGCGAACGGGUGAGUAACACGUGAGUAACCUGCCCUUGACUUUGGGAUAACUUCAGGAAACUGGGGCUAAUACCGGAUAGGAGCUCCUGCUGCAUGGUGGGGUUGGAAAGUUUCGGCGGUUGGGGAUGGACUCGCGGCUUAUCAGCUUGUUGGUGGGGUAGUGGCUUACCAAGGCUUUGACGGGUAGCCGGCCUGAGAGGGUGACCGGCCACAUUGGGACUGAGAUACGGCCCAGACUCCUACGGGAGGCAGCAGUGGGGAAUAUUGCACAAUGGGCGGAAGCCUGAUGCAGCAACGCCGCGUGCGGGAUGACGGCCUUCGGGUUGUAAACCGCUUUCGCCUGUGACGAAGCGUGAGUGACGGUAAUGGGUAAAGAAGCACCGGCUAACUACGUG